CACGUAGGUAAUUUUCCCUUGAGCGGGGGACAACGUUCCGAAAGGGACGCUAAUACCGCAUAAGUUCUUGGGUGCUUUGGCACUGGAGAGGAAAGCUAGGCCGCAAGGUCUGGCACUCGAGGAGAGGCCUGCGUCGCAUCAGCUAGUUGGUGGGGUAAUGGCCUACCAAGGCAAAGACGCGUAGCUGGUCUGAGAGGAUGAUCAGCCACACUGGGACUGAGACACGGCCCAGACUCCUACGGGAGGCAGCAGUGGGGAAUAUUGGACAAUGGGCGCAAGCCUGAUCCAGCCACGCCGCGUGAGUGAUGAAGGCCUUCGGGUCGUAAAGCUCUGUGGGGAGGGACGAACCGCUGUACGUUCAUAGCGUGCAGCAUGACGGUACCUCCUUAGCAAGCACCGGCUAACUUCGUG
Molecule: ribosomal RNA, 411 nt
Filed under: uncultured delta proteobacterium
Lineage: Bacteria; Deltaproteobacteria
Description: bacterial SSU rRNA
Rfam family: Bacterial small subunit ribosomal RNA
Source: RNAcentral